This 272-nucleotide unclassified non-coding RNA is filed under the name Hevea brasiliensis (rubber tree). Lineage: Eukaryota; Viridiplantae; Streptophyta; Magnoliopsida; Malpighiales; Euphorbiaceae. The record is from RNAcentral.
UUCGUUUCCACCAACUCCCCACUCUUUCCUCCCCUUUUUCUACCUACCCAUUUUUCUUGUUCUUCAUCUCUCAUUCCGGCUUCGGAGUUUACCUAAUGCUUCUCGUCUUGGAUUCAGACACCAAUUUUCUGGAUUUGAUUCUGCGUUAGAACCUGCUUUUGGAUCCGUUUCUUUCCCUUCUCAGCUUCUUGCGCCGUCCCUCAAGUCUCUACAGUUGACUAAGAAAGUGAAGCCAGUAAUGGCUGGGAAUAUUCCUGACCAUGUGAGUGUGG